This 5208-nucleotide long non-coding RNA is filed under the name Sorghum bicolor (sorghum). RNAcentral describes it as "long non-coding RNA (SBIC_LNC012488)". Lineage: Eukaryota; Viridiplantae; Streptophyta; Magnoliopsida; Poales; Poaceae. The record is from RNAcentral.
CUAGGCAAACGAGGAGCAUGGGUGACACUGUAUCAAGAAGUGCAGACGUCAAGGUCCACACCUAAUCAAAUGAUGCACCUAAAGGAUGAAGACGGUGAGAAGUAUUGUCCAGAAGACUUAAAACAUUAGAUCCUUGUCGGAGGAGGUCAAGAUCGUCGACUCAAGUCGCCUUUCCUGAUCAAGAAGGACGACCAUGGUGUUCCAAGCAUCGAGUGCAUAAUCAAUGGAUACUCUUUUCAGAAGACACUCUACGACACCGGAUCUAACGUCAACAUAAUGACCGCAGUCACUUAUCAGCUCCUGCAUGGAACCAUGCCCCUACAACCAAUAUAUAUUCAGCUGCAGAUGAUUUUCAGAACAUUGACAUGGGAGAAGACGAGUAUGAUCUACCUACCAUCCUUGGAUGACCGUUCCUCAAACACUAUCAAAGCCAUCAUCUAUAUUGGAACCGGAGAAGUCCACAUGCACUUCCCCUCUGAGAAGGUACGCCACUACUUUAAUGAUUCUAACUAUAUAGUUGAAGAUUCUAAGCAGGUCAGGACAAGAAGAAGACAACGCAACCGCAACCAGAGGAGGCAAAUCAUCAAGGACGGAUGGGUAGACUACGAAGGAGAAGUGAUAAGGUCUGAAGACAUACAACUUGAACUGAACUGUCCUGAGGAGACCGUAGCACCGAGUCAGAUGUGGAGAGAGAAGAUAGUUAUACACGAAAAGGAGGCGCCGUCGGAAUCACCGACUACGCCAUCCAACGAAUCCCAGGACGACUGAGAAAACACAAGGAGUCUCGUUCGGAGGACUUAAAAACACCGAAAGUCUUGCCAAGAGGUAAACUUGGUAGUUAUCUUUUUCCCUUCAAUUAUUCAAUUAUAGUUUGCUUAGUUAAUCAGGUUCAUGCUAUCUUGAAAAGAAAAUAAAAAUGUUAAAAAAUAGUAAGCCCCAUGUGAGUAUGCUCAUGGCAUAAAACCCAUAGGUAUAUUGACUGUGGUGGCAUAAAAUAAAUAUGUUUUCAUCUUACAAUAAAUAUAUAAAAAUAAUAAGUGCAUGAUCCUGCUAAAUAAGUAACGUUUAUUGAGGAGGCUCAACAUGAUAAAGGCUAGAUAUUUAUGCUAACACUUAACCAGUUCCACAAAGCUUUGUUGUCUAUUUGAGCUCCACAAAAUUUAAGAAUCGAAGAAGACUAGGAGACGGAGGACAUCCUAAUCGCUGUCAGGGUGCUGCCGACUUUCAAAUACACCUCCACCACCUGCUAGCUACAUCAGAAGAAAUUACGUCAAAAUCCAGCUUAGGGGAGAGCACCCCCAUUUAUCCAGCUAAGUGUUUCUACUCACGUUUAUACUUUACUCAAAAUAAUAAAAAGAUGCAUAAUCAUAAAAACCCAAAUAAAGAUUUUAUGUUUAAUAUAUAUCUUUGCUUAGUUUGCUAAAUAAAUAAAUAAAUAAAGUUUGCUAUGAACCCUCAUGAUAAGCUCUCAUAUGGAAAUGAUGAAUAGUUGCUCUGCCAUGACUAGUUCUUAAAAUUGAAAUCUCUCUCAAGUUUAGGCAUAACUGUUAUGAAUUAAGAUUUGCCCUAAACCUGAACUUGUGGGAAGAGUACUUGAUCUAAAGUCUAAGUUGUUAACGGAUAUGAUAUGGGAAGGUUGAGCUGCUGUUUAUCUGUUCCUAGAGAUGCUAGAAUUCUGGAGAAUUUUAUCUUUGAAAAAUCUUUAAAAUAUCACAUGAUGAGUUCCUGUAUGAUGAGAGUUUAAAAUCCUACCACAGCCAUAUAUACAUGCUUAUUAGACUUUGAGCCAAACAUUUACUUUUUACUACUUAUGAGCAUUGAGUGUGGUCAAGCUGUGUAGACCCUUAGGAGCUUGUCAUGUGGUUAAAAUCAAGAUUCACUUGCACGUUCACUCAUACAUGCUACUUCUACUCUGGAAGUACCAUCCACAUAUAUCCACUCAUUUCCAUCUCCAGAUUCACCCAAAAUUAUUCUACUCCUAAUCCGGGAGAGAAUAGCCAAAAACAUUUUCCUAUCCCUGUUAUUCCCUGUGAAAUAAAUGCUCCAGUUAUUUUGGUUACUACCACUUGCUACAUUAUUUCAGGAGAUGAGUGCUCUAAAAAAAGAAAAAAAAGAGAAAAAAAAUAAUAAUACGAGGAAAUAAAAAGGGGCAAGUGCCCGGAACCUCGAAGAAAAGAAAAAGUAAGACGAGAGGUAAAAAUGGACAAGUGUCCGACAGUAGAAUUAGAGGUACAAGAUACCCACCUGAGAGGAAAGAAAAAGAAAAUAUAGAGCAUCUCAUUCUCCCCAAAAAGCUUCAAAGUGCAAGAAAGGUAUGUAUCCCCUUAAAAGAGCAAAAAUAGAAUUAGAUUUUCACCAUUGUUAUCACCAUCAUCACCAUACACCAUUCUUUCGCCACACAUGCACAUCUUGAUUUGACUUAUUGACUUGUUCUUCUGGAUCCAUGGUUUGACUAUGCAAUAAAUGUCUUGUAAGUAUGUAUUAGCUGUCUCCCACCUAUGAGCUCCAGAUAUCAAAACCUUAUUAGAGUAGGGUGAGAGAGAAGGCAAUACCACUAUGCCUCAUACCACAAAUACUACAUACUUUGAGAGAAGGCAUAUACUAUUACUGCCUUAGAAAGGAUCCAGAAAUACCACAAAAGAGAGAUCUGAGAGAGUCAUACAAGGAAUCUCUGAGUUUUAUUUGAAAAUCUGCAAAAACUCCAGAGCUAUAGCUGAUCAAGAAUAAGAGACAUGGCGCUUGACUUGACUGUUCUAUCUCUUUAACUGCUCAAGACACAAGUGACGGCUACAAGCCCCAUGGUGAAAGGUAAAAUGAGUAAGUUUUAAGUCUUAACAGUUUAUUCUAACUGAGAGAUGAGAUCUUGCUUGAAUGCGUGUGUACCUUUAAGGCAUGAAACCACUGCACAAACUCUUGAGUCCAUCCUUGCUCAGGGACGAGCAAGAGGUAAGCUUGGGGGAGUUUGUUGACGGUCCUUAAGUAUCAAAUUUAAUUAUCAAAUAAACAAAGAAAAGGAUCCAAAUGAAAUCAACAUCUAGACUUAGGGUUUUAUCUGACAGAAUUCCACGAGUUUUGGUGUUUGUCUAUUUCUGCAGGGGGUUAUCAGGAAAUAAGGAAGAAAGGCCCACAUGUCGGGAUUACAUAGAGAUAUCAACGCACCGCGCAAUUUUCUACCAUCUAGAAGACUCCAGAAGCCACGGGAAGGAAGCGGAGGCCGAAAGGGGCUAGGCCCAGGGCGCCCGCCCUGGUGACCUGAGCGCCCGCCCCCUGCUGGAUCCUAUUCGGGACACUCUUCGCACACGAUGUUCCACUGACCUUUUGGAUCAAGAAUAACGUAGUACCACCUCGCCUACCGACCCAAAAACGCAUAGAGGAGGUGGACUAUAUAAGGAGACCCCCCUGGCCCCUAGAGAAGACAAGAAAUUAUCAUAGAGAUUGAGGGGUGCCCUCGAAGGAAAACCUAUUCUCUAAUUAAUAUUUCUUUUUAGGCUUAGCAACCAAUGUAAGUAGAAAUAGAUCUUCUAGUUUCUACUAGAUUGAGAGAGAUAGAGUGGAGGUGUAGAUCAGAGGAAGGCCGGCCUGUCGGUGUCUACUCCGAGUUGUACCUGCGGGAUCAAGUCUCCUAACUCGAGGCUUGCUUCUAAGAUUCUUCAGUAAUUCGACUUCUAAAUUCUAGUAAGUUCUUGUUUUAUUGUUCUUUGGUUUAUGAGUUUACUUUAAUCCUCUUCCGGUUGAGUAUUAGAGUAAUCAUUGCUAGCGUAAACGUGGUGUUUAGGCUAGGGUACUCAUAGAUAUCCCCUGACUAGCUGGACCGUGGUAGUAGCGAGGAACGUGACAUUUCCGAGUUACCUUUGUAUCCCAUAUCUUGUUAGCAGGACGGGUAGGUUUAUAGGUGCGGGUCGAACAUCCUUUGUGUUGUCUAGAUUCCGUGAGCCUCCCCAAUAGAACAGUAGAUCAUCCUUAUCAAGGUUAGAACGAGACUACGGUUGCAGUCUUCUCUAUACAUCACUCACAUCGAGAAACAAUCUUUGUAGCCUAAAGGGAUAGUAGCAAUAGAUUUGGUUAGUCAGAUGCACCCUUUCUCCCAGUGGUAAAAAUAUAAAUACGAUACUCUGGAAAACCUCCCGGGUGAAAUGCUCACCGAUAUCCGUGCGCUUGCGGAUCAUUUCCUGAUUGCGUUACCAAAUAUCAACACAAGCCUCGGGUUAGGAGACUUGAUCCCGCAGGUACAACCUCGGAGUAGACACCGAUAUGUCGGGCUUCCUCCGAUCUACACCUCCACUCUAUCUCUCUCAAUCUAGAAGAACUUGGAAGAACUAAUUCUAAUCUCACAUUGGAUGCUAAGCCCUAUGAGGUUGGAACCCUAAGGAACCUCUCUCUUUGAAUCCUCUCUAGAAAAUAUGCUAAUGAAUAAUGGGAUUGCUCUCCUCUAGGGGCCAGGGGUCCUACUUAUAUAGUCCCCUCAAGUGAAUCUGGGCCGUCGGAUCAAACCGACAUUGAUUGAAUGGUUCUCCUUGAUCCUUUAGGUCAGUGGAGCAUAAUCCGCGAGAUUGAACGUGAUUGGUUGAAACACCAGGGCGGGCGCCCAAGGGGGGAGGGUGGGCGCCCUGCCCCUGGGCCCGCUUGGCCUCCCGUUCGUUCCCGUGGCUUCUGGACUCCUCUAGAUGAUAGAAAAUUGUGCGGCACAUUAAUAUCUCUAUGAAAACCCGACAUGUGGGCCUUUCCUCCAUAUUUCCUGAUAACCCCCUGCAGAAAUAGACAAACACCAAAACUCAUGGAAUUCUGUCAGAUAAAACCCUAAGUCUAGGUGUUGGUUGCAUUUGGAUCCUUUUCUUUAUUUAUUUGAUGAUUAUAUUUGGUACUUAAGGACCGUCGACACAUGGUUUGACUAUGCAAUAAAUGUCAUGUAAGUAUGUAUACUUUAUCUCCCACCUAUGAGCUCCAGAUAUCAAAAUCCUUAUUAGAGUGGGGUGAGAAAGAAGGCAAUGUUACUAUGCCUUAUACCACAAAUACUACAUAUUUUGAGAGAAGGCAUAUACUAUCACUGCCUUGGUAAGGAUCCAGAAAUACCAUAAAAGAGAGAUCUGAGAUAGUCAUACAAGGAAUCUCUGAGUUUUAUUUGAAAAUCUGCAAAAACUCCAGAGCUAUAGCUGAUCAAGAAUAAGAGACAUGGCGCUUGACUAGACCGUUCUAUCUUUUAACGGCUCA